AGUUCACACUGUGACGGUAGCUUACCAGAAAGGGACGGCUAACUACGUGCCAGCAGCCGCGGUAAUACGUAGGUCCCGAGCGUUGUCCGGAUUUAUUGGGCGUAAAGCGAGCGCAGGCGGUUUGAUAAGUCUGAAGUUAAAGGCUGUGGCUCAACCAUAGUUCGCUUUGGAAACUGUCAAACUUGAGUGCAGAAGGGGAGAGUGGAAUUCCAUGUGUAGCGGUGAAAUGCGUAGAUAUAUGGAGGAACACCGGUGGCGAAAGCGGCUCUCUGGUCUGUAACUGACGCUGAGGCUCGAAAGCGUGGGGAGCGAACAGGAUUAGAUACCCUGGUAGUCCACGCCGUAAACGAUGAGUGCUAAGGUGUUGGGGGGUUUCCGCCCCUCAGUGCUGCAGCUAACGCAUUAAGCCACUCCGCCUGGGGAGUACGACCGCAAGGUUGAAACUCAAAGGAAUUGACGGGGACCCGCACAAGCGGUGGAGCAUGUGGUUUAAUUCGAUGCAACGCGAAGAACCUUCAAGGCUUGACAUG
This 530-nucleotide ribosomal RNA is filed under the name uncultured bacterium. RNAcentral's name for it is "bacterial SSU rRNA". It matches the Rfam family "Bacterial small subunit ribosomal RNA", at positions 459 to 988 of the family's 1533-position model. The record is from RNAcentral.